GUCCGGAUGACUGAGUGGUUUAAGGUGUCUGACUUGAAAUCAGAAGUGGUACUAAAAACCCACCGUGAGUUCAAAUCUCACUCCGGCG
This 88-nucleotide transfer RNA is filed under the name Nanobdellota archaeon. RNAcentral's name for it is "tRNA-Ser". It matches the Rfam family "tRNA". From Rfam's summary of the family: Transfer RNA (tRNA) molecules are approximately 80 nucleotides in length. Their secondary structure includes four short double-helical elements and three loops (D, anti-codon, and T loops). Lineage: Archaea; Nanobdellati; Nanobdellota. The record is from RNAcentral.